UUGAAGUGAAAGAAGGCAAGAGCCUCACCUCUGAGCACAGCCAUCUUCAGCAUGGAUGAGCAACAUAAAUGCCAACAGCCCAAGCAAGCUCCUCAGUCCACCAGUCAGAGCAAACAGCAGCAAAAGGACCCUGCAGUUCCUCAAGAGGCAUCAUAUACAUGAUAUACAUUCCAUCUCCCCAGUGAGGCUGUGUUUGCUCAGAACAGACACUUGGUAGCAGCAAGUGCUGGUGCAUCUGGGAAGACAGAAGAGGGCUGAAGGGAGGAGACCACCCACUCGUGCACAAACCACAUUUUGAAAGGAAGCAAACGCUGCAAGACUGAAACACUUCACAUCUUGAGGCUUCAGAGGCUGGUUCCAAGCCAGGCAGAGGAAGCAAGGCUCACCAUUAAAUGUCAAGUUGAAGGAAAACUUCAUACAUCACCUUCCUCAUGGGCUGCCAUUCAGCCAAGAGGAACAGAGAUUAGCCUUCAAUCACACAGGAGCAUGGAGCUGAAGGAAACCUUCCCCUGGACACGCUGGAGAAACAUUUUCAUUAGAGGAGGAGAACCUGACAGAGAUGAAGUGCCCCUUCACCUCGACUGCUGGACCUCUCCCCUGCCUGGCAUGAGCAGGAUUGGGGAGAUGCUAACUGAGGGAGCUGGUGCCAGCUGCAACACUGCAACACUUUUCAGUGCUCUCUGCAUCCAGAUGUGAGGGACAGCUGUGACACAGCACAGCAGCACUUUGAUAGCCUGGUGGGGAUGGCUUUGGUUUUUCCCUGCCUAUCACUGAGCACUCACUGCUGGAAGACAACUGGGUGUCAGCUGAAUGGGAAUGGAUGCUGGGUGGCAAGCCAUGUACCUGAAGGGGCACCUGCACGUGGGCCAGGAAAAGGUGUCUUUGGGUGACAAGGUCCAAGGGUCCUGCAAGACAUUUUGUAGAUGUAACAGGACUGCCUCUGGGGUAGCAGAAGCUGUCCCUGCUCCAUGGAAAGCUGUUCCACAGCCCACCAUCACAAGCAUCUGCUCUCAGUCUGCAUCUUCCGGGGGCAGUCGUGC
Apus apus (common swift) is the source of this 1040-nucleotide long non-coding RNA. RefSeq lists it as uncharacterized. The record is from RefSeq and is a predicted model, not a curated record. Lineage: Eukaryota; Metazoa; Chordata; Aves; Apodiformes; Apodidae. The transcript is spliced from 4 exons.